AUUUUUCUAUUAUUAUUUCUUGAGUCGUGAUUUAUUCCGGUUUAUGAAGAAUUAAAUCUACGGAUUUAAUUUAGAAUUUAUUCUAGCUAAGAAAGGAAGCAGAUAUCGAGUAGUUUCAUAAACACGCGAUAUUAACAAAACCCGGUAGUUGGAUUUUAUUUAAAAAAAAAAUGCAAUACAAUAUUACAGAUAUAGAAAUUCCAAGACAAGAAUUAUUGCUUCUGUUUAUACUUCACUUUACAAACCCCUAUUUUUCUAUCUAUCUACCAACACUUAAAAAAAAAAAAGGAAUAGUGUAUGUGUGUGAAAGAAAUCUGCAGCUAUCCCUUAAGCGCAUGCUCAGCCAUCUAUUCUGGACAUUUUUUUGACUCCAGCUCCACGCCUAUGUAAUAUUCUUCUUUGACUCCAGCUCCAGCAGCAUAUUUGCAAAAUUUUCACACCCGAACACCUUCAUUUGGUUUCAGAUUUCAGCAGCUAUUAAUCCUCAUCUCAUACCC
Molecule: long non-coding RNA, 497 nt
Filed under: Salvia miltiorrhiza (redroot sage)
Lineage: Eukaryota; Viridiplantae; Streptophyta; Magnoliopsida; Lamiales; Lamiaceae
Description: long non-coding RNA (SMIL_LNC009483)
Source: RNAcentral